Thalictrum thalictroides is the source of this 132-nucleotide non-coding RNA. NCBI's taxonomy places the organism in Eukaryota, Viridiplantae, Streptophyta, Magnoliopsida, Ranunculales, Ranunculaceae. The record is from the annotation of a GenBank genome assembly.
UAAAAGCACCAGGGGUGCCUGUAUCUGCUUCAAGCUCAGCCAUUUGGUUGGGUAUGGGCAGGGCCGGCUGAGAAAGUCCCUUUGAACCUGAACAGGAUAAUGCCUGCGUAGGGAGUGUGCGUUUUUUUUUUC